CUGACACAGGGAGGUAGUGACAAUAAAUAACAAUGCCGGGCCUUUGUAGGUCUGGCAAUUGGAAUGAGAACAAUUUAAAUCCCUUAUCGAGGAUCAAUUGGAGGGCAAGUCUGGUGCCAGCAGCCGCGGUAAUUCCAGCUCCAAUAGCGUAUAUUAAAGUUGUUGCAGUUAAAAAGCUCGUAGUUGGAUUUGUGGUGUAUGCGUUUGGCCGCUUCCUUUUGGAGGUGUGCUGUGACGCGUCGCCAUCUUUGGGUGGAAUCUGCGUGGCAUUAGGUUGUCGUGCAGGGGAUGCCCAUCGUUUACUGUGAAAAAUUAGAGUGUUCAAAGCAGGCUUAUGCCGUUGAAUAUGUUAGCAUGGAAUAAUGAGAUAGGACUUUUGAGUCUAUUUUGUUGGUUUGCGAGUCAAAGUAAUGAUUAAUAGGGACAGUUGGGGGUAUUCGUAUUUCAUUGUCAGAGGUGAAAUUCUUGGAUUUCUGAAAGACGAACUACUGC
Molecule: ribosomal RNA, 492 nt
Filed under: uncultured diatom
Lineage: Eukaryota; Bacillariophyta
Description: SSU rRNA
Rfam family: Eukaryotic small subunit ribosomal RNA
Source: RNAcentral